AGUGAACGCUGGCGGUAGGCCUAACACAUGCAAGUCGAACGGCAGCACAGGAGAGCUUGCUCUCUGGGUGGCGAGUGGCGGACGGGUGAGGAAUACAUCGGAAUCUACUUUUUCGUGGGGGAUAACGUAGGGAAACUUACGCUAAUACCGCAUACGACCUACGGGUGAAAGCAGGGGAUCUUCGGACCUUGCGCGAUUGAAUGAGCCGAUGUCGGAUUAGCUAGUUGGCGGGGUAAAGGCCCACCAAGGCGACGAUCCGUAGCGGGUCUGAGAGGAUGAUCAGCCACACUGGAACUGAGACACGGUCCAGACUCCUACGGGAGGCAGCAGUGGGGAAUAUUGGACAAUGGGCGCAAGCCUGAUCCGGCCAUACCGCGUGGGUGAAGAAGGCCUUCGGGUUGUAAAGCCCUUUUGUUGGGAAAGAAAUCCAGCUGGUUAAUACCCGGUUGGGAUGACGGUACCCAAAGAAUAAGCACCGGCUAACUUCGUGCCAGCCGCCGCAGUAA
This 506-nucleotide ribosomal RNA is filed under the name uncultured bacterium. RNAcentral's name for it is "partial 16S ribosomal RNA". It matches the Rfam family "Bacterial small subunit ribosomal RNA", at positions 29 to 523 of the family's 1533-position model. The record is from RNAcentral.